This is a long non-coding RNA of Hipposideros armiger (great roundleaf bat), 907 nucleotides long. RefSeq lists it as uncharacterized. The record is from RefSeq and is a predicted model, not a curated record. NCBI's taxonomy places the organism in Eukaryota, Metazoa, Chordata, Mammalia, Chiroptera, Hipposideridae. The transcript has 4 exons.
AGUUGGAAUAUAGUGGUGAAAACUUGAGCUAGAGGAGCAUCAGAGAUCAAGAGAUGAGGAUACCAAGGCCUUGACAAAUGAAGUUAUUUGCCUCGGGUCACACGUCUAAGUUGGAGUGCAGAGACAAGAAGGUGAAGAAGGCCUGAAGAAAUGUCUGUGGUGGGCGCUGGGGUAAGAAGGCUCAGAGUCCGCACAGAAGACAAGGGUUCAGACUUCUCAUCUGCUGCUCUGGCUUCCAUAUCUUUGUCCAGUCUCUUCCCUUUGCUUUUUCCUCGUUGGUUAUUUCAAGAAAUUACAUGGUCUAAGGGAGACCAAGAAUGAAAGAGAGUGAGUAAAUAAGAGUGAAUGAGAGAGAGAAUGAAACAAAAAAGGGCAAAUAAGAGUAAGGAAGAGAGGAUGAAGGAGGGAGGGAGGAAAAAAGGGAGGGAGAGAGAGAGAAAAGAGAGAUCAGUCUUUGAAGCCUCCAGACUUGGUUUGAAUCGUUGCUUUUACUAUCGGUACAAUUUUUAGUAAAGCUCCCUGACUCAGUUUCCUCAUAUGUACAAUGAGGGUGGGACUACUUAUAAGAGUGUUGUGAGGAUCAAAUAAAAUAAUGUUACGCAUUUCCUGCCACCCAAUGGGCAUUCAAUAAACCUACCACUUCCUCCCUCCCUCCCGUCCUUCCUUCUUUCCUUGUUUCCUUCCUUUCUUCCUUCCUUCCUUCCUUCCUUUUUUUUGCCUCUCCAUUCCCUCCUUCCUCUCUCCCUCAACAAGCAUCACCUAAACCCCAGGUACAGUCCAGGACAUCUCUGCAGACAUUACUAGUUUAGUCCUUGAAACAACUCAUGAAUUACACAGUAUUAUAUUCUCAUUUUGCAAUGAGGCCUAGCGAGAGGACAUUGUAAACUAGGAUCACCCAGCAAGUGAC